UGGGGAGUACGGUAGCAAGAUUAAAACUCAAAGGAAUUGAGGGGGGCCGUCACAAGCGGUGGAGCAUGUGGUAUAUUUUGCUGCAAAGCGCAGAACUUUACUAGCCCUUGACAUGUAUAGGAGGAUAUAAGUGAUGGUAUUGUCUUUUCGGAGACCUUUACACAG
Molecule: ribosomal RNA, 165 nt
Filed under: uncultured Candidatus Liberibacter sp.
Lineage: Bacteria; Pseudomonadati; Pseudomonadota; Alphaproteobacteria; Hyphomicrobiales; Rhizobiaceae
Description: partial 16S ribosomal RNA
Rfam family: Bacterial small subunit ribosomal RNA
Source: RNAcentral